CUACGGGAGGCUGCAGUGGGGAAUAUUGCACAAUGGACGAAAGUCUGAUGCAGCAACGCCGCGUGGAGGAUGACACAUUUCGGUGCGUAAACUCCUUUUAUAUAGGAAGAUAAUGACGGUACUAUAUGAAUAAGCACCGGCUAACUCCGUGCCAGCAGCCGCGGUAAUACGGAGGGUGCAAGCGUUACUCGGAAUCACUGGGCGUAAAGAGCGUGUAGGCGGGUUAAUAAGUUGGAAGUGAAAUCCUAUGGCUCAACCAUAGAACUGCUUCCAAAACUGUUAACCUAGAAUAUGGGAGAGGUAGAUGGAAUUUCUGGUGUAGGGGUAAAAUCCGUAGAGAUCAGAAGGAAUACCGAUUGCGAAGGCGAUCUACUGGAACAUUAUUGACGCUGAGACGCGAAAGUGUGGGGAGCAAACAGGAUUAGAUACCCUAGUAGUC
RNAcentral lists this ribosomal RNA (439 nucleotides) under uncultured bacterium. RNAcentral describes it as "partial 16S ribosomal RNA". It matches the Rfam family "Bacterial small subunit ribosomal RNA", at positions 339 to 795 of the family's 1533-position model. The record is from RNAcentral.